Small nuclear RNA from Dipodomys ordii (Ord's kangaroo rat), 107 nucleotides. NCBI's taxonomy places the organism in Eukaryota, Metazoa, Chordata, Mammalia, Rodentia, Heteromyidae. The record is from Ensembl.
GUGUUCGCUUCGGCAGCACCUAUACUAAAAUCGGAAUGAUACAGAGAAGAUUAGCAUGGCCCCUGCGCAAGGAUGACACACAAAUUCGUGAAGCGUUCCAUAUUUUU